RNAcentral lists this non-coding RNA (255 nucleotides) under Parcubacteria group bacterium GW2011_GWA1_50_14. RNAcentral describes it as "self-splicing intron". It matches the Rfam family "Group I catalytic intron". Rfam says of the family: Group I catalytic introns are large self-splicing ribozymes. They catalyse their own excision from mRNA, tRNA and rRNA precursors in a wide range of organisms. The core secondary structure consists of 9 paired regions (P1-P9). The record is from RNAcentral.
GUGUGGAAUUAAAACUUUUUGUCCAAAUUAAAUUAAGAAUGAAGGGAUAUAAAUCUGGCUAUAUGCUGGAAAAUCUCGAUAAAUGUUUGACUACGAGGGAACUAUUAAGUUUCUAGUAAAAAUGUCAAACCUGAGAUUAUCAGCAGGAAAGGCCCCAUUAGAUAUUAAAUUAUCUUGUGGGGAAUCCUCACAGGCCAUACGCCAGAGACCGUUUUAACGGUCAAGAUAUGGUCGGACCCCACGAGCGAUCGUGGG